GCCUCGGCGGCCUAAGGUGGGGGAGAUGAUUGGGGUUAAGUCGUAACAAGGCAUCCGUACGAGAACGUGUGGAUGGAUUACCUCCUUU
RNAcentral lists this ribosomal RNA (88 nucleotides) under Candidatus Saccharimonadota bacterium. RNAcentral describes it as "partial 16S ribosomal RNA". It matches the Rfam family "Bacterial small subunit ribosomal RNA", at positions 1446 to 1533 of the family's 1533-position model. Lineage: Bacteria; Candidatus Saccharimonadota. The record is from RNAcentral.